CCAAUGUGGAUAUCCUGGGAGGUCACUCUUCCCAGGUUCUCUUCUUGUGACCUAUGGGAGCCUAAGGCUGUUCCCAUUGAUGUACAGUCCCUUUCCUCGAUGUUGGAGAUAUAGCUAGGCCUUGAGUCUGCCCCUACAUAUUCCUACGACUUCUCAGAGUUCUGUGGACAAUGAGGAGACAAACAAUGCAGCAAACAACC
This 200-nucleotide small nucleolar RNA is filed under the name Carlito syrichta (Philippine tarsier). RNAcentral's name for it is "Small nucleolar RNA SNORA73 family (ENSTSYG00000032455.1)". It matches the Rfam family "Small nucleolar RNA SNORA73 family". Rfam says of the family: U17 (SNORA73A and SNORA73B) also known as E1 belongs to the H/ACA class of small nucleolar RNAs (snoRNAs). Vertebrate U17 is intron-encoded and ranges in length from 200-230 nucleotides, longer than most snoRNAs. The record is from Rfam by way of RNAcentral. Lineage: Eukaryota; Metazoa; Chordata; Mammalia; Primates; Tarsiidae.